AGUGAACGCUGGCGGUAGGCCUAACACAUGCAAGUCGAACGGCAGCACAGUAAGAGCUUGCUCUUACGGGUGGCGAGUGGCGGACGGGUGAGGAAUACAUCGGAAUCUACUUUUUCGUGGGGGAUAACGUAGGGAAACUUACGCUAAUACCGCAUACGACCUACGGGUGAAAGCAGGGGAUCUUCGGACCUUGCGCGAUUGAAUGAGCCGAUGUCGGAUUAGCUAGUUGGCGGGGUAAAGGCCCACCAAGGCGACGAUCCGUAGCUGGUCUGAUAGGAUGGUCCGCCACACUGAGACUGAGACACGGUCCAGAGUCCUACGGGAGGCAGAAGUGGGGACUAUUGGACAAUGGGCGCAAGCCUGCUCCAGCCAUGCCGCGUGGGUGAAGAAGGCCCGCGGGUUGUAAAGCCCUUUUGUUGGGAAAGAAAAGCAGCAGGUUAAUACCCCGCUGUUCUGACGGAACCCAAAGAAUAAGCACCGGCGAACUUCGU
RNAcentral lists this ribosomal RNA (491 nucleotides) under uncultured bacterium. RNAcentral describes it as "partial 16S ribosomal RNA". It matches the Rfam family "Bacterial small subunit ribosomal RNA", at positions 29 to 506 of the family's 1533-position model. The record is from RNAcentral.